This 336-nucleotide long non-coding RNA is filed under the name Mytilus galloprovincialis (Mediterranean mussel). The record is from RNAcentral. Lineage: Eukaryota; Metazoa; Mollusca; Bivalvia; Mytilida; Mytilidae.
CGGGCCUGUGGUUCAUGCAAUAUUGAAAUUAUGUUUACUCAAUGCGCAGUUACUGAAGUUUAUAUUUGCCACUAUUUUUUUUUUAUUUCAUAUAAAUGAUUUUUUGAUUUUUCUUCUUCGAAAAAAUUUGUGGUGUUGAAAUAGGGAAUGGACACAGAUACCUAAGCAAUUUAACAAAAGAAAUUUUGUGUAAUGUCAUCAAUCUGUAUUACACGUAGACAGGAUGUUCUCUAGAAAACUAUACGCUAUAUACACACCCGAGAAUACACGCACUGUCGUAAUGGAAAAUUACUGUAAGUUAUAUAAUUACCUGUAAUCAGCUUUGCAACAAAUCAG